Molecule: long non-coding RNA, 394 nt
Filed under: Lactuca sativa (garden lettuce)
Lineage: Eukaryota; Viridiplantae; Streptophyta; Magnoliopsida; Asterales; Asteraceae
Description: long non-coding RNA (LSAT_LNC001183)
Source: RNAcentral
GCAGCUGGCACGAGAGUUUCAGGAUUUGACGCAGACUAUUGAGACUGUGGCGGAGAUCACCGCCAAGUUCAAGGAGAGGGCUCUUCUUGUACUGCAGUAUGUCGCGGAUGAGGAGAUGAAGAAGGCUCGGUACCAUGAGAUGUUGAGGGAUGACAUCAGGGAGUUCUUGAGCAGAUCCAGUUGUAAGACGCUUGAAGAUAUGAAUUCUUGGGCUAGAGAAAGGGAAAUUGAUUUGGAGCAAAUCUUGUAAGACGCUGGAAGAUAUGAAUUCUUGGGCUAGAGAAAGGGAAAUUGAUUUGGAGCAAAUCCGGAAGAGGAAGUCGGAUGAGGUUCAGGUAGUUGCGGGUUCGGGCAAAAGGCCCAAGGGAUCGGAUUCGAGAUCGAGGGAUCAUCA